RNAcentral lists this ribosomal RNA (456 nucleotides) under uncultured marine eukaryote. RNAcentral's name for it is "SSU rRNA". It matches the Rfam family "Eukaryotic small subunit ribosomal RNA", at positions 617 to 1076 of the family's 1831-position model. The record is from RNAcentral.
GGUUAAAAAGCUCGUAGUUGGAUUUCUGUUGAGGGCGGCCGGUCCGCACUUUGUGCGAUGUAUCUGGUUCGGCCUUGGCAUCCUCUUGGGGCACGUUUCUGUGCUUUAUUGCAUUGGACGGGAUUCAAGACUUUUACUUUGAGGAAAUUAGAGUGUUCACGGCAAGCUUUCGCUUUGAAUACAUUAGCAUGGAAUAAUAAUAUAGGGCGUAAGUUCUAUUUUGUUGGUUUCUAGGACAUACGCAAUGAUUAAUAGGGACAAUUGGGGGCAUUCGUAUUAACGCGUCAGAGGUGGAAUUCUUAGAUUGCGUUACGACGAACUACUGCGAAAGCAUUUGCCAAGGAUGUUUUCAUUGAUCAAGAACGAAAGUAUGGGGAUCGAAGACGAUUAGAUACCGUCGUAGUCUAUACCAUAAACUAUGCCAAUUAGAGAUUGGAGGUCGUUCGUUUUAUGACU